Molecule: long non-coding RNA, 1252 nt
Filed under: Equus caballus (horse)
Lineage: Eukaryota; Metazoa; Chordata; Mammalia; Perissodactyla; Equidae
Description: lncRNA (ENSECAG00000042727.2)
Source: RNAcentral
CCAACAGAGCUGGGGCUGGAAGGAUGGAGGGUGGGUCACGUGGGGGGCUGGUCUAGGCCUGAGCCGGUGAGCAGGGGCUAGAGCCAGGGUGGGCUGCAUUCACAUCCUGCCCUCUGGCACUCAGUGCCCCCGUGGAGGCGCCUCUGGUCCAGCAAGAAGCCCGCUGCCCAGAUGCUCGGGAGGUGGGGGUCCCUGCCUGCCCCAGCCCUGCAGUUCUGAGGUUCAGGGGCCCUGGGCUCACAUGAGCUCUGAGAGCAGCAAAGGGGAGAAGGAAGGCUCUGGAAGCCUCUUGGCACGAAACCCCAGCCAGAAACUCUGUCGGCUCCGUCUACAAGGAUCUCCCCCCCAGCAUCCCAAGGAGGUGAGGGGUGCGGAUGGCCAUUCACUUUACAGGUGGGGACCAAGGCUCCAAGAAGGGCAACUUUGGGCCAUUUGUGCAUGUCAUCCAUCCCAUCAUUCCGGCACCCAACAGCCACGGCUUGUCUCGUGGGGCCUUUGGGGAACAUCUGGCCUGGACCCUCAGGGUCUCUUCCUGCGCUGACUCACGAUGCGACAGCACAGGCUGGAAGACUUCGACGACCGAGGCAGCGACGCCCGCAGGCUGACACUGAUGCACAGAUGGAGUCAGCAACGUGGAUUUGUCCCCACGUCCCUGGUGCAGAGUGAUCCGGGGAAACAGUCCUGGGGAACACGGGGGCACUGCCCGGCUGGGCUGCCAGGGCCCUCUGAGCCCCUCUGCUCCAGUCCUCAUCGGCUGGGCAGGUAUGGUCCAGAGAGGGAAACUGCCCUGCCCAGAGCCACACAGCACAUCAGGGACCAGCCACGGCUGGACAAGGACUGACUGCUGGUGGGGGGUUCCCACCCUUUGUGGGAGAGCCUGGGGCCCCCUGAGCCCUCGCACUCCCAGGCUCUUGCUGGGCCCCCAGGGAAACGCCCUACACCCUCCCGGGCCCUCCAGGCAGCCCUGGCUCCAGCAGGUGCCCUUAUCGAGAAGAGGCAGCCGGGUUUUCUCUGCCCCACGUUUCUCCCCGCUGUGCCACACUGGCAGGCGUUUCUGUCUGCCCGCCUGCCCUCUGCUGGGUCCCUCGGCCAUGGUGAGGGGCUUGGAGCAGGACAAGAAGCCAAGUCUUGCACUUGUGGUUUGGAUCCACGAGAGAAUGGGUGCUGGCUGCUGAGGGCUCCCCUCUGGCUCCUGGGAGGAACACCCGGGACCCAGAGGUGCCGCGCUGUGGUCGAGGCCACGAGGGGUGAG